Molecule: transfer RNA, 69 nt
Filed under: Microcebus rufus (brown mouse lemur)
Lineage: Eukaryota; Metazoa; Chordata; Mammalia; Primates; Cheirogaleidae
Description: tRNA-Gly
Source: RNAcentral
AUUCUUUUAGUAUUAAUUAGUACAAUUGACUUCCAAUCAAUUAGCUUCGGCAUAAUCCGAAAAAGAAUA